RNAcentral lists this ribosomal RNA (177 nucleotides) under Giardia duodenalis. RNAcentral's name for it is "Giardia intestinalis partial small subunit ribosomal RNA". Lineage: Eukaryota; Fornicata; Diplomonadida; Hexamitidae. The record is from RNAcentral.
UGACGCUCUCCCCAAGGACACAAGCCAUGCAUGCCCGCACACCUGGGAAGCGGCGGACGGCUCAGGACAACGGUUGCACCCCCCGCGGCGGUCCCUGCUAGCCGGACACCGCUGGCAACCCGGCGCCAAGACGUGCGCGCAAGUGCGGACGCCCGCGGGCGAGCAGCGUGACGCAGA